This is a non-coding RNA of Myotis brandtii (Brandt's bat), 73 nucleotides long. Lineage: Eukaryota; Metazoa; Chordata; Mammalia; Chiroptera; Vespertilionidae. The record is from Rfam.
GCUGGUGUUGCUUAGUGGUUAGAGCAUUGGCCCAUGCACGUAAAGGUUACAGGUUUGAUUCCCGUCAAGAGCA